Molecule: ribosomal RNA, 492 nt
Filed under: uncultured bacterium
Lineage: Bacteria
Description: partial 16S ribosomal RNA
Rfam family: Bacterial small subunit ribosomal RNA
Source: RNAcentral
AGUGAACGCUGGCGGUAUGCCUAACACAUGCAAGUCGAACGGCCGCACAGUAAGCUCUUGCUCUUACGGUUGGCGAGUGGCGGACGGGUGAGUAAUACAUCGGAUUCUACUUUUUCUUGGGGGAUUACGUAUGGAAACUUCCGCUAAUACCGCAUACGACCUACCUCUUAAAGCAUUAGUUCUUCGCACUUUUCGCGAUUCAUUUAGCCGAUGUCGGAUUAGCUAGUUGGCUGGGUAAAGUCCCACCAAGGCAACGAUGCGUAGCUUAUCUGAGAGGAUGAGCAGCCACACUGGAACUGAGACACGGUCCAGACUACUACGGGAGGCAGCAGUGGGGAAUAGUGGACAAUGGGCGAAAGCCUGAUCCAGCAAUACCGCGUGGGUGAAGAAGGUCUUCGGGUCGUAAAGCCCUGUUGUUGGGAAAGAAAAGAAGUAGGAGAAUAGACCGAUGUCUUGACGGUACCCAAAGAAAAAGCAACGGCUAACUACGUG